RNAcentral lists this ribosomal RNA (490 nucleotides) under uncultured bacterium. Its description in RNAcentral is "partial 16S ribosomal RNA". It matches the Rfam family "Bacterial small subunit ribosomal RNA", at positions 30 to 507 of the family's 1533-position model. The record is from RNAcentral.
AUUGAACGCUGGCGGCAGGCCUAACACAUGCAAGUCGAACGGUAACAGGAAGCAGCUUGCUGCUUUGCUGACGAGUGGCGGACGGGUGAGUAAUGUCUGGGAAACUGCCUGAUGGAGGGGGAUAACUACUGGAAACGGUAGCUAAUACCGCAUAACGUCGCAAGACCAAAGAGGGGGACCUUAGGGCCUCUUGCCAUCGGAUGUGCCCAGAUGGGAUUAGCUAGUAGGUGGGGUAACGGCUCACCUAGGCGACGAUCCCUAGCUGGUCUGAGAGGAUGACCAGCCACACUGGAACUGAGACACGGUCCAGACUCCUACGGGAGGCAGCAGUGUGGAAUAUUGCACAAUGGGCGCAAGCCUGAUGCAGCCAUGCCGCGUGUAUGAAGAAGGCCUUCGGGUUGUAAAGUACUUUCGGCGGGGAGGAAGGGAGUAAAGUUAAUACCUUUGCUCAUUGACGUUACCCGCAGAAGAAGCACCGGCUAACUCCGUG